UAGGCUGCUAAUGCAAGCUAGU
RNAcentral lists this microRNA (22 nucleotides) under Ciona intestinalis (vase tunicate). Its description in RNAcentral is "Cin-Mir-4013-P2_3p (mature (guide))". The record is from RNAcentral. Lineage: Eukaryota; Metazoa; Chordata; Ascidiacea; Phlebobranchia; Cionidae.